CCCUGGUUAGCUCAGUUGGCUAGAGCGCCGUCUUGAUAAGGCGAGGGUCGCUGGUUCGAAUCCAGCACCAGGGACCA
Molecule: transfer RNA, 77 nt
Filed under: compost metagenome
Description: tRNA-Ile
Rfam family: tRNA
About the family: Transfer RNA (tRNA) molecules are approximately 80 nucleotides in length. Their secondary structure includes four short double-helical elements and three loops (D, anti-codon, and T loops). Further hydrogen bonds mediate the characteristic L-shaped molecular structure. tRNAs have two regions of fundamental functional importance: the anti-codon, which is responsible for specific mRNA codon recognition, and the 3' end, to which the tRNAs corresponding amino acid is attached (by aminoacyl-tRNA synthetases). tRNAs cope with the degeneracy of the genetic code in two manners: having more than one tRNA (with a specific anti-codon) for a particular amino acid; and 'wobble' base-pairing, i.e. permitting non-standard base-pairing at the 3rd anti-codon position.
Source: RNAcentral